Boleophthalmus pectinirostris (great blue-spotted mudskipper) is the source of this 729-nucleotide long non-coding RNA. RefSeq lists it as uncharacterized. The record is from RefSeq and is a predicted model, not a curated record. The transcript has 2 exons. Lineage: Eukaryota; Metazoa; Chordata; Actinopteri; Gobiiformes; Gobiidae.
UUGGCCCUCCGGCUGUAACUCGGCUUAGGAGUUCAGAAUCUGCAAUUCGGACUAGGCUGUGCUUUAUAGCUUUCCUGGUCACAGGGUAAUUUCUCCAAAAGGUACUUGCAAAGUGAUUUGUCCUAAUUAUUUUUGUAUGAGCUUUCUGGUAAAAGUAGCGGCUACGGAGUGAGUUGGUUAUAAGUGCUCUGUCGUGGGCCUAAAAACCCUGAGUGAUCACGAGUAUAAAGAGUGACCACCAGCCACUUGAGUAGUGCAUAAAACAAUAAAAAGCAGAUAAAAUAAGACAAAGACAAAUCACUUGUUGGAAUCUUUUGUUGAGUCUUUCCCUCAAUUAUUAUACAUAUAUAUUUACCACGAGCAAGUCAAGUCAUCCUAGGUGAUAGAGGCCCCCACAGACCCCCCACACACACUCGGACCCCCAGCCUCGCAACAGCUCGGGGGCCAGAAACCAACGCUACGUCCGUCCAACCACAACAGGCAGCGAAGUAUUCUCUUGGUUUCUUUCAUGCUCCUAAAACGAGACAGGCUUUGAAUACUUUUGGACACUAUGAACAAACUUAGAAUCACGUGGAGCUGCUAUGUUCUGUCUGAAGAAUUGUAAAUGAAGCUAACAAAAAUAGAUAGGUCCAAAGUGGGAGAUUUCUUAAAGGAUUUGUGUCUGAUUUUUUUCAUUUCAGAUGUAUUGUAUAAGCAGCUUUUGGGGUGAAAAUAAAAUAAGUAUUACCA